CCUUCGAUAGCUCAGCUGGUAGAGCGGAGGACUGUAGUCGNUGUUGCAGCCAUCCUUAGGUCGCUGGUUCGAUUCCGGCUCGAAGGA
RNAcentral lists this transfer RNA (87 nucleotides) under Neotoma lepida (desert woodrat). It matches the Rfam family "tRNA". From Rfam's summary of the family: Transfer RNA (tRNA) molecules are approximately 80 nucleotides in length. Their secondary structure includes four short double-helical elements and three loops (D, anti-codon, and T loops). Lineage: Eukaryota; Metazoa; Chordata; Mammalia; Rodentia; Cricetidae. The record is from Rfam by way of RNAcentral.